This 497-nucleotide ribosomal RNA is filed under the name uncultured bacterium. Its description in RNAcentral is "partial 16S ribosomal RNA". It matches the Rfam family "Bacterial small subunit ribosomal RNA", at positions 28 to 507 of the family's 1533-position model. The record is from RNAcentral.
GAUGAACGCUGGCGGCGUGCCUAAUACAUGCAAGUCGAGCGAACAGACGAGGAGCUUGCUCCUUUGACGUUAGCGGCGGACGGGUGAGUAACACGUAGGUAACCUACCUAUAAGACUGGGAUAACUUCGGGACACCGGAGCUAAUACCGGAUAAUAUUUCGAACCGCAUGGUUCGAUAGUGAAAUAUGGCUUUUCUAUCACUUAUAGCUGGACCUGCGCCGUAUUAGCUAGUUGGUAAGGUAACGGCUUACCAAGGCAACGAUACGUAGCCGACCUGAGGGGGUGAUCGGCCACACUGGAGCUGAGACACGGUCCAGACUCCUAAGGGAGGCAGCAGUAGGGAAUCUUACGCAAUGGGCGAAAGCCUGACGGAGCAACGCCGCGUGAGUGAUGAAGGUCUUCGGAGCGUAAAACUCUGUUAUGAGGGAAGAACAAACGUGUAAGUAACUGUGCACGUCUUGACGGUACCUAAUCAGAAAGCAACGGCUAACUACGUG